Mytilus californianus (California mussel) is the source of this 1385-nucleotide long non-coding RNA. RefSeq lists it as uncharacterized. The record is from RefSeq and is a predicted model, not a curated record. The transcript has 3 exons. Lineage: Eukaryota; Metazoa; Mollusca; Bivalvia; Mytilida; Mytilidae.
AAAGUUUCUUGCUAAUUGGUGAAAGUGUUUUUGAGUUAUUGUCUGAAAACUGGAAAAUUCCCAUUUUUUAAUGAAUAAAACCCCAUAACUCGGAAACAUAAAAUCUAAAAUUAAAAAAAAAAAAACAAAAGGGAGCUCACGUCAAUAGAUAUAAACAAUUCACCAAAGUUUCAUGCAAAUUGGUUAAAGUGUUUUUGAGUUAUUGUCCGACAUGUUGACGACGGACGGACAGACAACGGCAUACCAUAAUACGUCCCGUAAACGGGCAAAUAAAAAUGAUUCUAAAUGAGAUUUAAACAUUAAUAAACAACAGCAAACAAGAUUACACAGAUAAUUGAUAAAUUAAGAAAUUAUUUAGAAACUAUGGUUACAACUCCUACAGACAAAAUUUAGACGAAUUUGGCCAUUUUUCUUAAGUCCCUUUUGAGCAUAUAGCUUCUCGCAUGUUCAGGUAUUCAUACAUCCUAGGCUCACAUGUUCAGGUAUACAUACAUCCUAGGCUCACAUGUUCAGGUAUACAUACAUCCUAGGCUCACAUGUUCAGGUAUACAUACAUCCUAGGCUCACAUGUUCAGGUAUACAUACAUCCUAGACUCACAUGUUCAGGUAUACAUACAUCCUAGGCUCACAUGUUCAGGUAUACAUACAUCCUAGGCUCACAUGUUCAGGUAUUCAUACAUCCUUGGCUCACAUGUCCAGGUAUUCAUACAUCCUAGGCUCACAUGUUCAGGUAUUCAUACAUCCUUGGCUCACAUGUCCAGGUAUUCAUACAUCCUAGGCUCACAUGUCCAGGUAUUCAUACAUCCUUGGCUCACAUGUCCAGGUAUUCAUACAUCCUAGGCUCACAUGUUCAGGUAUACAUACAUCCUAGGCUCACAUGUCCAGGUAUACAUACAUCCUUGGCUCACAUGUUCACGUAUACAUACAUCCAAGGCUUUCAAACUUUUGGGUUUGAGCAUUCCUGAUGAAGGUAAAUCUCUAACAGUGCUUCAGCUAUACAAAAUUUUUUAAGUGUACUCAAAUAUAUUGAAAAAAAGACCUCUUUCGAGUUUUGUCCUUAACCGGCAAAGUUUGUCAAUUAUGCGUGCCUUAAGAACAUAAUUUACCAGAUAGAGGGGAUGGACUGUAUCCCUGCACUAUUUAAUAUGAAAAUAAAGAAGAUGUGGUAUGAUUGACAAUGAGGCAACUCUCCACAAGACACCAAAUGACACAGAAAUUAACAACUAUAGGUUCAUCAAGCGCCUUCAGGAUUGUCAUUAUGCAGGAUAAACUAGAAAUAGUGUUUUUUCCGUAGGUACUUAAUCACAAUUCCCUAAUGACAGCAGUGCUGAUUAUCAAUUAUGAGAAUUUAAUUUGAUGAAUAAUACGUGCAUUAUAGCAUCAUA